This is a long non-coding RNA of Pogoniulus pusillus (Red-fronted tinkerbird), 1934 nucleotides long. RefSeq lists it as uncharacterized. NCBI's taxonomy places the organism in Eukaryota, Metazoa, Chordata, Aves, Piciformes, Lybiidae. The transcript is spliced from 2 exons. The record is from RefSeq and is a predicted model, not a curated record.
UCCCCUGGGAGCCUCCUCUGCUCCAGCCUGCACAGCCCCAACUCUUUCAGGCUGUGCUCACAGCAGAGCUGCUGCAGCCUCUGAGCAUCUGAGAUGCUGACCCAGGACUGGUCCCAGGACUGAUGCCUGAGGGACUCCACUUGCCACUGCCUGCACUGGGACAUGGAGCCAUUGGCAGCCACUCUCUGGGUGCAGCCCUGAAGCCAGUUCUGUAUCCAUCAGUGCUGCACCCAUCAACCCCAUGUGGCAGCAGCCUGGAGAGCAGGCUGUGGUGUGGGGCAGUGCCCGAGGCCUUGCUCAGGCCCAGGUCAAUGACAGAAAGCUUCUGCAAGGCAGCAUCAGUUUGAGCUUCUCUCCAUAGUGUGGCUCUGCCUGUUGCCCUCCUCGACACUGGCAAGAGGCUGCCAGAGCUGCACCCUGGUACUGAAGAACUUCUUCCUCAGCUCCAGUCUAACCCUACUCUGCCUCAGCUUCAAACCAUGUCCCCUUGGGCUGUCUCCAGACACCCUCAGCAGAAGUCCCUCUGGACACCCUUAUGAGAGGUUUGUUUUCAGGGGUGUCUGUAGGCAUUCAGCUGGCAGCAGGUGGGCAGCUGAGUGCUGUGCCCAUAGCCAGGGACCUUAAAGGUUAUCUAUCAGCAGAGUCAGCUCCCACCAGCCCAGGUGGCUCAAGGCCUCAUCCAGCCUGGCCUGGAACACCUCCAGGGAGGUUGUGGAGCACAGAAGCACCCAAUGUGAUCAAAGAUCAUGCUGGGUGAUUCUGUGCUCCACAACCUCCCUGGGCAACCUGUGCCAGCCUCGCCACCCUCACUGCAAAGGUCCUCCCCAGUGGUGGUUUUGCCUGCUGAGGCAAUGGUUUCAGCUCCCCUAUCCACGUCCCCAGAUCCUGCUGAGAGAGACUUGUUUGUACAUCCAGACUAAAGGCCUGCUGAGGCUCAUCUCCACCCUGCUAAUGCCCUUACAGCAGCACUUUGCAUCCACCCAGCACAUGAUGGGCUGGAAAGUCUUGUUACACAUGAUAAAGGGUGCAAGGUGGUGGUGGUGGUGGUGAUGAGACAGCAAAGCUGUUUGAUGUCUGAAUUGCAGGCAUCAAAGCCCUGGCUGGCAUGAAAACACCUCUGAAGUGGGCCAGGAAGCUGGGUGUGAUCAAUCUGUUUGCUGGUCAUUAUUUGUCACUGAACUAAACUCUGCUGACUUCCCCUCAGGGAGGAGAGAGCCUGCAGACAGACAGCAGCCUUACCUGGACUGAAACCUUCACCUUGGAACGUGGCAGUCAGAGCUGAGAGAAGCAAUGAGGCUGUCAGCCCUGGGGCUUUUGCUCUGGAGAAGGCUGAGAAGAGAUCUGGAGGUCUGAAGCAGAGUGCCAAAGUCUACUGCUGCAGCCUGUGCUUGAGCCCCACUCUGCCCUCCCUCCAAGCAGCAGAGACCAUUCUGUACAUCUCUACAGUGGUUAAUGAAGAUGCUGAAAGCAGCCAAAGUUUUUACAUGAAUGUAAAAGAAAAGGAAACAUUUAAUUUGCUCUCAGGCAGCAAAGUUAAAUGGAGAGAGAAGAGCCUCCUGCUAAGGAAUGCGAUGAAUGCAUGGGCACAGGAAGCAGCUGGAGGUGAUGAUUUAACACUAUGCAGCAGCUGAAUUCAAGCAGUGAAUGACUCUGCUCUUAUUUAAAGGCUUCGAUGUUUGCCACUUCAUUAGUGCUGAUCAUUAAUCAGAGUCUGAAUUAGCAUUGUUUCAAACAGCUCCCUGGAAGGUGUUCCAAGUCCUGGGCUCUUCAGGAAUUCUUUGGCUACGUCCAUUAGAGAGUUAAAUACAACUGAGAGUACCCUAAAAAGCCAGGAGCCGUUUGCAGGUGGUGCAGAGUGCAGACGUGAGGAGCUCCUGGCGAGGACCGAGCUCCAGCAUCCACUCGUACAGCUCCAACAGGAGGCAGGAGACAAA